AGAACUCAACGCUGGCGGCGUGCCUAACACAUGCAAGUCGAACGAGAAAGUGGAGCAAUCCAUGAGUAAAGUGGCGCACGGGUGAGUAACACGUGACUAACCUACCCUUGAGUGGGGAAUAACUUCGGGAAACCGAGGCUAAUACCGCAUAACACCUACGGGUCAAAGGAGCAAUUCGCUUAAGGAGGGGGUCGCGGCAGAUUAGUUAGUUGGCAGGGUAAUGGCCUACCAAGACGGUGAUCUGUA
Molecule: ribosomal RNA, 246 nt
Filed under: uncultured bacterium
Lineage: Bacteria
Description: partial small subunit ribosomal RNA
Rfam family: Bacterial small subunit ribosomal RNA
Source: RNAcentral